UCCCCUGUAGCUCAGUUGGCUAGAGCGCCGGAUUGUGGUUCCGGAGGUCAGCAGUUCAAGCCUGCUCGGGGGAACCA
This 77-nucleotide transfer RNA is filed under the name Bacteroidota bacterium. RNAcentral's name for it is "Bacteroidetes bacterium (hydrothermal vent metagenome) tRNA-His". It matches the Rfam family "tRNA". Rfam says of the family: Transfer RNA (tRNA) molecules are approximately 80 nucleotides in length. Their secondary structure includes four short double-helical elements and three loops (D, anti-codon, and T loops). Lineage: Bacteria; Pseudomonadati; Bacteroidota. The record is from RNAcentral.